CUCCGACUUCGACGGAAUUCUACACCAACAGGUCUCUUUAGGGAUAAGAUAUAAUUUGAAUUAGAUUCAAAUUAGGGCUCUUAUACCUUGACGAUAUGCCUUAUCAGGUUUGUGGGACAAACCUUAAGAAGGGGCAUUGGGAGGGGAGUGAAAGAAAAGAACAACAUCACAAAAAUAAAGAAGGGUUGGCAUGGGAUUUGAUCUUCACGCCAAUCUUCCUCCUCCACGCCUUGUCUCCUU
This 240-nucleotide long non-coding RNA is filed under the name Elaeis guineensis (African oil palm). RNAcentral describes it as "long non-coding RNA (EGUI_LNC007277)". Lineage: Eukaryota; Viridiplantae; Streptophyta; Magnoliopsida; Arecales; Arecaceae. The record is from RNAcentral.